UAGGGAAUAUUGGACAAUGGGUGAGAGCCUGAUCCAGCCAUGCCGCGUGCAGGAAGAAGGCGUUAUGCGUUGUAAACUGCUUUUGCCAGGGGAUAAAAAGACCGUGCGCGGUUAAUUGAAGGUACCUGGUGAAUAAGCCACGGCUAACUACGUGCCAGCAGCCGCGGUAAUACGUAGGUGGCAAGCGUUGUCCGGAUUUAUUGGGUUUAAAGGGUGCGUAGGUGGCCCUGUAAGUCAGUGGUGAAAUAUCUCAGCUUAACUGAGAGGGUGCCAUUGAUACUGCAGGGCUUGAGUACAGAUGAGGUAGGCGGAAUUGACGGUGUAGCGGUGAAAUGCAUAGAUAUCGUCAAGAACACCGAUAGCGAAGGCAGCUUACCAAGCUGUAACUGACACUGAGGCACGAAAGUGUGGGGAUCAAACAGGAUUAGAUACCCGCGUAGUCCCUGAGCGGGCUGGCAAGGCGCAU
RNAcentral lists this ribosomal RNA (466 nucleotides) under uncultured bacterium. RNAcentral describes it as "bacterial SSU rRNA". It matches the Rfam family "Bacterial small subunit ribosomal RNA", at positions 355 to 825 of the family's 1533-position model. The record is from RNAcentral.